UUUCCCCUACGGGGGGCAGCAGUGAGGAAUAUUGGUCAAUGGGCGGGAGCCUGAACCAGCCAAGUCGCGUGAAGGAAGAAGGUACUUAGUAUUGUAAACUUCUUUUGUCGGGGAACAAAGGCGGAGACGCGUCUCCGGAUGAGUGUACCCGAAGAAAAAGCAUCGGCUAACUCCGUGCCAGCAGCCGCGGUAAUACGGAGGAUGCGAGCGUUAUCCGGAUUUAUUGGGUUUAAAGGGUGCGUAGGCGGUCGGAUAAGUUAGAGGUGAAAUCCCGAGGCUCAACUUCGGCAUUGCCUCUGAUACUG
Molecule: ribosomal RNA, 305 nt
Filed under: uncultured bacterium
Lineage: Bacteria
Description: bacterial SSU rRNA
Rfam family: Bacterial small subunit ribosomal RNA
Source: RNAcentral